AGAAUUAUAUGUUGAGUUCAUUGCCAACAUGUUAGAAGCCUAAUGGGUCACACACCUAAAAUGAAUGUUGAAAAUAAAAUGACAGAGGUAAUUUGUCAAGACCCGGAACUCCCAUCGAGCCCGUGACAACCGCCGCGGCGUCCCGAUAGGCACUCAUUACCUCGAAUGUCGAUCGAAACCCCGCAAGGCUUAGCAUCAGCUUCUGCAUCUCCCCAGUGAGCGACAGUUAUUAAAUCUCACAUUUCAAAAAAAAAUCAUAAGUCAUUUCCAAAUCAAAACAAUAAAAUAUUACUUUCUGGCUCACAGGGGCAUUUUCGUCAUUUUUCUUCGAAAAUACCGAAACUCGCCAAAAACAUGGUGUAAAAGCUAAAUAUAUUCAUACAUAUUUUAAAUUAAAUAACUGAAGAAUAAAAUUACUUUUACAGUAACACGUGGACCCCCAACUGACUAAGAAAAUGUAGGGUUACGAACCCUUACUUUCUAAGAUGCAACUUCGAGAUUAAUUUUCAUCUUAAUCAACUAUCAACAAAUUGUCCUGAGCUUGAAAAAUGUAUAGGAAGAAGGGGUGAGAUUAUAAAAUCCCAGUGAGUAGACAGACAUCAUCAAAAUAAUCUAAAGUCGAGUAAUAGGAGAUAAUUAAAAUAAUUCAUCCCAACCCAUAUAAAUAAUUGGAUUUCAUCAAAUUACUCAACAUGGCUUAUGCACUUUUCAAAAACUUGGCCUUUGCCAAAAAUUCAUUCUCGGGGAUACCCCGCGAAGGCAUCUUACCGAGACCGCCAAAGCUGUUUAUUGUCACAUACACAAACACAUUUCACCUCUAACAACACAGCCGUUCCUCGGCGUUGGCUGAGUCCCAGUUUCACGUGGUGGCCAGCGUGAAGUGUACUCAAAUCCUACCUCGGGAGUUAUCCUACGCGCCUCUCCAAUCGAGGUAAGCUCAAUAAUUAGGAACCGUGCCCCUCUAAUUAGGCUGGCCCACUGAACCCCCAUCACUACAGUGCCCACUUUAUAAUCCACCAACCAAUAAAAUCACAAUAAUAUGACAUGGCUCACUUAACACAUUCAAGGUAAAUCAAAGCAGUUCACAUAUUCUUAAAAUCAUAAAAAUAACCAGUCAUACCCACAUUUAUCAUAAGCCAUUUAAUGUAAAAUCAUGGAUAAACAACACAAUCAUAGUAUAGGUCUCCAAUUACUCUAUUUUUGAAAUCAUUAUUAAAUUUUCAAAAAUUUUAUAAAAUCCCAUUUUCCCAUAAAACACAAUAAUUUUCCAAUUAAACCAUUUUUUUCAUAAAAUCACACAAUUAAAUAAAUCUACUCUAGAUAAUUAAGACGAUAGUAAGUUUACUCACUGUUCUAGGAGUCGAUAUACUCCUAUUUUCAGUUCGCGAGUACAAUCCUUUAACCGUAUCUAAUGGCUCACCACCUAGCCAUAAUCCAUGGCACAUAUUUCAAUUAAAUUGUGUCUAACAGUCAUAAGCUAUUUCAGGCUCGAUAUAUAUGCAUGAUAUGAAAUGAAAAAUGCACAGGUAGCCAUCUAGACCAGGUAUUGACCUAAGUCGAUUUUUCAUCCAAUAAAUUAGCCAAUGCGUCCAAUUUCACUCCAACUUUCUCUAUUUCUUUUCCAAUCCCUCAAUUCACCAAGCACAACUAAUUAACACACAAUUAGGCAAAUUUAUCUUCACUUUUCUUCUUGGAACUUUCGGCUAUUGAAGGUUCAUGGGGAAAAUGGAUUCUUUUCUUGUUGUUUUGUUUCUAAACAUGUUUAACUAACUCUAAACACCAACAUAACUCAAAAUCAAACAAUUCUAACAUCUUUCUCUCUCCACACCCAUUUUGACCAGCCAUAAUUUCAUCAUGAAAACAUGUAAUUUAACCAUGGAAAUUAAGGAAAAAUGCAUGGGUAAGGUAAAUCACUAGCAAAAUCAAAGAAAAUUUUACCUUUGCUUGAUCAAAUCCUUGAAUUCCAACACUUUCUCUUUGAUUUUUCCCACCUAGGGUUUGUUCUUCCUUGGUUUCUCUUCUCUUCUGGUUUGG
This 2034-nucleotide long non-coding RNA is filed under the name Theobroma cacao (cacao). Its description in RNAcentral is "long non-coding RNA (TCAC_LNC003752)". The record is from RNAcentral. Lineage: Eukaryota; Viridiplantae; Streptophyta; Magnoliopsida; Malvales; Malvaceae.